GCUCCAGCUUGCUGGGGUGGAUGAGUGGCGAACGGGUGAGUAACACGUGAGUAACCUUCCCUUGACUCUGGGAUAAGCCCGGGAAACUGGGUCUAAUACCGGAUAUGACCUCCUGUCGCAUGGUGGGGGGUGGAAAGAUUUAUCGGUCUUGGAUGGACUCGCGGCCUAUCAGCUUGUUGGUGAGGUAAUGGCUCACCAAGGCGACGACGGGUAGCCGGCCUGAGAGGGUGACCGGCCACACUGGGACUGAGACACGGCCCAGACUCCUACGGGAGGCAGCAGUGGGGAAUAUUGCACAAUGGGCGCAAGCCUGAUGCAGCGACGCCGCGUGAGGGAUGACGGCCUUCGGGUUGUAAACCUCUUUCAGUAGGGAAGAAGCCUUCGGGUGACGGUACCUGCAGAAGAAGCGCCGGCUAACUACGUGCCAGCAGCCGCGGUAAUACGUAGGGCGCGAGCGUUAUCCGGAAUUAUUGGGCGUAAAGAGCUCGUAGGCGGUUUGUCGCGUCUGCCGUGAAAGUCCGGGGCUUAACCCCGGAUCUGCGGUGGGUACGGGCAGACUAGAGUGCAGUAGGGGAGACCGGAAUUCCUGGUGUAGCGGUGAAAUGCGCAGAUAUCAGGAGGAACACCGAUGGCGAAGGCAGGUCUCUGGGCUGUUACUGACGCUGAGGAGCGAAAGCAUGGGGAGCGAACAGGAUUAGAUACCCUGGUAGUCCAUGCCGUAAACGUUGGGCACUAGGUGUGGGGGACAUUCCACGUUUUCCGCGCCGCAGCUAACGCAUUAAGUGCCCCGCCUGGGGAGUACGGCCGCAAGGCUAAAACUCAAAGGAAUUGACGGGGGCCCGCACAAGCGGCGGAGCAUGCGGAUUAAUUCGAUGCAACGCGAAGAACCUUACCAAGGCUUGACAUGUUCUCGAUCGCCACAGAGAUGUGGUUUCCCCUUUGGGGCGGGUUCACAGGUGGUGCAUGGUUGUCGUCAGCUCGUGUCGUGAGAUGUUGGGUUAAGUCCCGCAACGAGCGCAACCCUCGUUCCAUGUUGCCAGCGGGUUAUGCCGGGGACUCAUGGGAGACUGCCGGGGUCAACUCGGAGGAAGGUGGGGACGACGUCAAAUCAUCAUGCCCCUUAUGUCUUGGGCUUCACGCAUGCUACAAUGGCCGGUACAAUGGGUUGCGAUACUGUGAGGUGGAGCUAAUCCCAAAAAGCCGGUCUCAGUUCGGAUUGGGGUCUGCAACUCGACCCCAUGAAGUCGGAGUC
RNAcentral lists this ribosomal RNA (1252 nucleotides) under Micrococcus sp. UASWS0961. RNAcentral's name for it is "bacterial SSU rRNA". It matches the Rfam family "Bacterial small subunit ribosomal RNA", at positions 72 to 1333 of the family's 1533-position model. Lineage: Bacteria; Bacillati; Actinomycetota; Actinomycetes; Micrococcales; Micrococcaceae. The record is from RNAcentral.